This 251-nucleotide ribosomal RNA is filed under the name Staphylococcus aureus. RNAcentral's name for it is "partial 16S ribosomal RNA". It matches the Rfam family "Bacterial small subunit ribosomal RNA", at positions 809 to 1056 of the family's 1533-position model. The record is from RNAcentral. Lineage: Bacteria; Bacillati; Bacillota; Bacilli; Caryophanales; Staphylococcaceae.
AUGAGUGCUAAGUGUUAGGGGGUUUCCGCCCCUUAGUGCUGCAUCUAACGCUUUAAGCACUCCGCCUGGGGAGUACGACCGCAUGGUUGAAACUCUAAGGAAUUGACGGGGACCCGCACAAGCGGUGGAGCAUGUGGUUUAAUUCGAAGCAACGCGAAGAACCUUACAAAAUCUUGACAUCCUUUGACAACUCUAGAGAUAGAGCCUUCGCAUUCGGGGGACAAAGUGACAGGUGGUGCAUGGUUGUCGUC